Molecule: long non-coding RNA, 2034 nt
Organism: Acipenser ruthenus (sterlet)
Lineage: Eukaryota; Metazoa; Chordata; Actinopteri; Acipenseriformes; Acipenseridae
Exons: 7
Source: RefSeq, a predicted model, not a curated record
UGAGAGUGCCAAUGUUGAGGCUGCUCGACUUCUUCAAGAAGCUGCAAGGAUUUUGAAGAGAGAGUCAGAAAGCACAGCCACUGCUGGCUCAGGAUCACAGACUGGUACUGGGACGUGUUCACCCAGUUCUUUUAGAGGUUUGUUUAACAACAUGCAAACCUCACUAGCUGAAGUACAACAGGGAACCCCUACAGUCGAUUCAGGCAGGAUUCCCUGCCCUAGAAAUGACCACAUUCAAAGAAAUCUUGUGCAGCUGUUUCAGCCAUGUGAUCGGGCAAGGGGGCAAAAGAUGUUCCAGAAAACUGGAAAGUGUAAACGGAAAACUACACACAGUGAAACCUGGACACGUGAUUUCUUUUGCUUACAGAGACCAAUGUUCAAACUGUGCCCAAUGGAGAAGACCGCAUUGGUUUACAGAAUUCAGCCCUUGGUAGGAAAAAAAUAACAUUUGCAGACAAAAAUGGAGGAUUUUCUGAACUAUGUGAAACUCUGUUUUCACAUUUUCCACAAUUGAAAGGUGCAGGAGGCUUUCAGAUGUUGAGGUCCGUUAAUAAAACCAAACAAUUGGCACCAAUUCCAAUGCCAGCCGGUGAGUACAGUGAGAAAUUUCUGAGAACUGAGAGUGGCCUGAACCAGGCAAUGGCCUACAUUCGACCACUUCAGAAAAACCUGGAGAGCAUUGCGAAGCGUGAGGCUGAAGAGUGUCAAGAGGUGGUCAUGGAGAAGUGCAAAAGGUGUGGAAAAGAUAUCCCUCUGCAAUGCCUUUCAGAACACAUUGAAAACUGUGGAAGGUCAUCUGUUUUUCUGGUACAGCCUGAUGACACAGAUUUGGAAGAUGAUGUCGUUAUGGAGAUAUCUGAAGAGACUCAACUAUCUAUGUCAUCACAUGACAACACAUCCCAUGUUCAAAAUUAUUACAACAAGUGCCAUGCUUCUUGUAGUGGACUGUACAGAGACUAUGUGGACCUUGUCAGUGAAGACAAUGUAUUUAGUGAUUCUGAAGAAGAGCAGCUGAAUAGAGUUCUAGAGGAAUCGCUAAAGGAAAGCUCGCAUGCAGCUUUUAAAUUUCAAAGUCAGACAAUUAAAAAGGAACUGGACGAGGCGGUUCGACUGGUAUGUUCUUCAGCGAACAAGAACACAGUUUGAAAGGUUGCAAGAAGGACUCCGUUCUCUCGGUGUAAUGGAUUCUAUGAAGGCCCACCCUGAAACCUUCAAACCUAUUUUCUGUCAAUCGACAGAGAAGCUGACUGCUGAUGUGCUUGAAGAGCUAUUCAAAGAGCAGCGAUCUGACUGUGGGAGUAACAAGUUUGAGAGAGAAAAUGAAGCAGUAUGUCAUUGGAGGGAUUAUCUCUUGGAUGUAGAGAUGGGGAUUUGUGGAGUUACCCUGGAGGACAUCCUUGUCUUUGCCACAGGAAGUGACAGUGUACCAGCAUUGGGCUUCAACCCUGCUCCAACUGUUGAAUUUUUGCAUGAUGGUUCACGGUUUCCACUUGCAAACACAUGUUCCAGCAUAUUAAGGGUACCAUGCAGGCAUUCAUACGAGUCCUUCAGGGAUGAUAUGGACUUUGGAAUUAAAAAUUCCCCAGGCUUUGGAAGGGCAUAACCAAAUUCCUUUGCUUACCAUACCUGUAGUCAAAGGGCACAAGUAUGUUCGAUCCUAAGAACAAUGUUAUGCAUGCCAAAGUGCUGCUAGAAUUUUUAUGUUUGUCAUUUUUGUUAUCUAUAAUUCUUUGUACACUUAAAUUUAGCAAGUGAGUCACCUUUGGUUGAGAAUUCUUACCUGUAGUUAUUAUUAUUGCAGAUAUUUAGCAGACACCUUUAUUAAGCACUACAAUUCAAUUUACUAAAAUAUUAAAAUGUAAUAGUUCAAUCUGUCAAUAUUAACAUCAGUGCCUUUAAAUAAAAGUAUAGGCUCGAUCUUUUCCCUCCUAAGGAUUUUUGGUAAUAGAGAAUUCUUAACAGUUGUUAAGUUGUUCCAAGAAAGAACAUUUUACUUUUCCUCCUUAUUAAUAAACACUAUUUGCAUUUCUGUGA